UCUACACGACUCUCGGCAACGGAUAUCUCGGCUCUCGCAUCGAUGAAGAACGUAGCGAAAUGCGAUACCUGGUGUGAAUUGCAGAAUCCCGCGAACCAUCGAGUCUUUGAACGCAAGUUGCGCCCGAGGCCAUUCGGCCGAGGGCACGCCUGCCUGGGCGUCACG
This 165-nucleotide ribosomal RNA is filed under the name Chascolytrum paleapiliferum. RNAcentral describes it as "5.8S ribosomal RNA". It matches the Rfam family "5.8S ribosomal RNA". Rfam says of the family: 5.8S ribosomal RNA (5.8S rRNA) is a component of the large subunit of the eukaryotic ribosome. It is transcribed by RNA polymerase I as part of the 45S precursor that also contains 18S and 28S rRNA. The record is from RNAcentral. Lineage: Eukaryota; Viridiplantae; Streptophyta; Magnoliopsida; Poales; Poaceae.